RNAcentral lists this ribosomal RNA (490 nucleotides) under uncultured bacterium. RNAcentral describes it as "bacterial SSU rRNA". It matches the Rfam family "Bacterial small subunit ribosomal RNA", at positions 8 to 507 of the family's 1533-position model. The record is from RNAcentral.
AGAGUUUGAUCAUGGCUCAGGAUGAAUGCUGGCGGCGUGGCUAAGGCAUGCAAGUCGAACGGAUAUAUUUUUGUAGCAAUACUUGAGUAUAUUAGUGGCAAACGGGAGCGUAACACAUUGGUAACUUACCCUGAACUCGUGAAUAACGUCUGGAAACGGACGCUAAUACACGAUACAGAUGGAGGGGGCUUAUGCCAUUCUCAUUGAAAGAAUUUCGGUUCAGGAGAGGCCUAUGGCCCAUCAGCUAGUUGGCGGUGUAAUAGACCACCAAGGCUAUGACGGGUACCAGGCGCGAGAGCGCGACCUGGCUCACUGGGACUGAGACACUGCCCAGACACCUACGGGUGGCUGCAGUCGCGAAUAUUCCACAAUGCACGAAAGUGUGAUGGAGCGACGCCGCGUGUCGGAUGAAGGCCUUCGGGUUGUAAACGACUUUUAUCAGGGACGAAUUUUGACGGUACCUGAAGAAUAAGGGGUUGCUAACUCUGUG